GGAGGGUGCAAGCGUUAAUCGGAAUCACUGGGCGUAAAGCGCACGUAGGCGGCUUGGUAAGUCAGGGGUGAAAUCCCACAGCCCAACUGUGGAACUGCCUUUGAUACUGCCAGGCUUGAGUACCGGAGAGGGUGGCGGAAUUCCAGGUGUAGGAGUGAAAUCCGUAGAUAUCUGGAGGAACACCGGUGGCGAAGGCGGCCACCUGGACGGUAACUGACGCUGAGGUGCGAAAGCGUGGGUAGCAAACAGGAUUAGAUACCCUGGUAGUCCACGCUGUAAACGAUGGGUGCUGGGUGCUGGGAUGUAUGUCUCGGUGCCGUAGCUAACGCGGUAAGCACCCCGCCUGGGGAGU
RNAcentral lists this ribosomal RNA (352 nucleotides) under uncultured bacterium. RNAcentral describes it as "bacterial SSU rRNA". It matches the Rfam family "Bacterial small subunit ribosomal RNA", at positions 527 to 881 of the family's 1533-position model. The record is from RNAcentral.